UACGUAGGGUCCGAGCGUUGUCCGGAAUUAUUGGGCGUAAAGGGCUCGUAGGCGGUUCGUCACGUCGGGAGUGAAAACUCGGAGCUUAACUCCGAGCCUGCUUCCGAUACGGGCAGACUAGAGGUAGGCAGGGGAGAGCGGAACUCCUGGUGUAGCGGUGGAAUGCGCAGAUAUCAGGAAGAACACCGGUGGCGAAGGCGGCUCUCUGGGGUAUUGCUGACGCUGAGGCACGAAAGCCAGGGGAGCGAACGGG
This 253-nucleotide ribosomal RNA is filed under the name uncultured bacterium. Its description in RNAcentral is "partial 16S ribosomal RNA". It matches the Rfam family "Bacterial small subunit ribosomal RNA", at positions 524 to 776 of the family's 1533-position model. The record is from RNAcentral.